RNAcentral lists this ribosomal RNA (172 nucleotides) under uncultured Clostridium sp. RNAcentral describes it as "partial 16S ribosomal RNA". It matches the Rfam family "Bacterial small subunit ribosomal RNA", at positions 338 to 524 of the family's 1533-position model. Lineage: Bacteria; Bacillati; Bacillota; Clostridia; Eubacteriales; Clostridiaceae. The record is from RNAcentral.
CCUACGGGAGGCAGCAGUGGGGAAUAUUGGGCAAUGGGCGAAAGCCUGACCCAGCAACGCCGCGUGAAGGAAGAAGGUUUUCGGAUUGUAAACUUCUGUCCUCAGGGAAGAAACAAAUGACGGUACCUGAGGAGGAAGCCCCGGCUAACUACGUGCCAGCAGCCGCGGUAAU